This 585-nucleotide long non-coding RNA is filed under the name Setaria italica (foxtail millet). Its description in RNAcentral is "long non-coding RNA (SITA_LNC002458)". The record is from RNAcentral. Lineage: Eukaryota; Viridiplantae; Streptophyta; Magnoliopsida; Poales; Poaceae.
CCACAACCACACGGUCUGUGUUACGUGCAUGGCGCCACCGUGACUACUCGCCGUGGUCGGUAGCCAGAGGAAGAAGAUGACUCGGCAGCCUUACAUAUCCAAAUCCACGGCUCAGGUUACAUGAUGAGGAUACCCCUGAACAUGGACGGUCCUGCACGAGCCACCUACUCCUCCUCGCCUCUCUGCUGUGUCUCCUACCACGCCGUCGCCGCGCCAUCCAGAUCAGGGAGGUCAAGCUACCCCGUCAGCACGCCGUCCAGAUCAGGAACAGGAGGUCAGCGCUGUCCAGCCUACCGUGCCAUCCUGCCUACCAAUAUCAACCUCACUUUGUGAGCCUCCACGAGUUGAAUCGCUGCUGCUGCGGGAGGGGACUUAGGUGAGUGGAGGAGGCAGAUGAUUUCUUUGCAAUCGUAGAGAUUUUACUGACUGCUUGGUUUGGGUAAAGAGUUUUUGAGCUUUAUCAGUUUAUGCCGUUUCUGGCCAUGGAGAUGCACUUCUAUCACCUAGGUGCUAAUUGAAUGGCCAAUGCAUAAAAUGAUUGUUUCUAUAUUUUUCCUUUCCUAUAAGAGAUCGAUCUUGGCUGCC